Molecule: long non-coding RNA, 781 nt
Filed under: Pan troglodytes (chimpanzee)
Lineage: Eukaryota; Metazoa; Chordata; Mammalia; Primates; Hominidae
Description: long non-coding RNA NONPTRT010273
Source: RNAcentral
GAGGAGAGAAGCCCUUCUGGUACCCAUCCCCACAUCAGCAAGAGGGAGCGCCAGACUCACAGCCUACCAUCCCCUCCAGCCCCAGCCCACCUGACCUACAUCAGCCACCUUCUGAUUGAUUCUGUUUUUUCCUGGGGAAAAGGCCAAAAAGCCAUCUAGGCCUCAACCCCAGCAUCUCUGAACCUCUGACCCAGCCCUGGACUUCCAACUUUCAGACUUCUUUCAGCUCCUGCUUCUUCCUCACAGGUACACCAGGGCAUCCAGCACAUUGAUUUGUCCCCACUCGCCUUAGCCUGUCUCCUGCCACAGUUGUCUCAUUUUGGUGAAGUGCGUGUCCAGGUUUCCCCUUGCUCCCAGCUGCAACAUGGAUCUGUGAAAGACAGUACAGCAGAAAAGUCUUCACAUCCUGGCUCUCUCUGCCCUUCAUUGUCUUUAAGCUCUUUAACAACUUUCACUUGGAGAGGAAAACAACUCUCUAGACAGGAACAUGGAGCAGCAGAGGGAGAAAUUGUGUGUUUACUGAUUUCAGUCAAUUAUUGCAGUGACCACGUCUCAGGAGUGUUGAUGUCCAGAUGAGGGCUGACCCAUGAAAGGUCAGCAAAAAGGAGGACCUAUACUUUCCUCGGUUUGUAAGUUGUAAAAGACCCAUGGAAUGCCAACUAUCCUUGUCCAUGGACAUGUGGACAGACUGUCCAGUGGCUAUCAUCAAUUUUGCAUCUAUUUGUAAAUUCUAUGUCAGCAUUCCUAUUGUCCUAGCUAUGCGUGGCAUUUUUAAUUCUCC